AUCACAGACACAUGGCCCAGAUAUAAUUCUCUAAUCCUGAGAGACAGCUGGUAUGUCUCCUUAAGCCACAAAAUCAAGGACAACUGUUCCAACCUGUGUAUCUCCCAGAAAGAGAAUCAAGUACAAUCUGAAGAGACUAAAUGGCAUUUUUGCCAACAUCAACUAAGACUCUCUUGGGGCUCUUCAUCUUAAUUCUUUGUGGAUUCCCAGGUGUUUUCAGCAAACUGAAAGAACCCUCUUAUGAAAAGUAUCUUUGUCAGAAGUACCCAAGAGACUAUGGACCUUGCUCAAGGAACUAUGAUCCAAUUUGUGGUAAAGAUGAUGUGACCUAUAUCAAUCUCUGCUUUUUUUGCUGGACAUUUUGGAAUGAAUAUCAAGGAAGAGUACAUUUUAGGAAGUUUGGUCGCUGCUCUCAAAGGGAGACAUAGUUUUGAAAUGACUCUUUGGACCAUUCUAUUCCAUGAACUGACUACAGACAAAUACCUUCUCCUCAACUGGUCUUGCCUGUUCAUCAAUGGUUGUAUGCUAAGCAAAUUACUUUAAGUUUUAUUCAGAAGAAAUCUUUUUCUGAUUAUUACUAUUUUUGAAAUCAUAAGAUAUCAAGUCUAUGUUCAUUCCCUCUCCUGCCCAGACAUACUUAAUUAAAAUGCUAUUUCUGACUAAAGCAUGACCUGAUAGGAGGUCAAAUUUUCUACCUAGGGAUAUGAAGAUAAAAUUGUGCAAAAACUUAUAAUGGAACAUAUGUGAUUUUCCAGAGAUAUGGUGGCAGAUAGCAAUAUUAGAGAGAAAGGGUGCCAUCCUGUAGUUAAAGUGACUAGGACUUAAUUUUGGCUCUGUAAUUAAAUCAUUGUGUAACCUAGGAUAAGUCAUUUCUUUUCUGCAAGCCUCAAUUUCCUUUUCAGUAAAAUGAGGGUGUUCCAGUUAUGACAUUCUAUGUUACAUGUUCUAAAGCCCCUUUCCUCUGUAUAAGUCCUGGGUUUAACAUCAUGACACCUCCUAGCAGUAUAAACA
Molecule: long non-coding RNA, 1011 nt
Filed under: Vombatus ursinus (common wombat)
Lineage: Eukaryota; Metazoa; Chordata; Mammalia; Diprotodontia; Vombatidae
Description: lncRNA (ENSVURG00010024494.1)
Source: RNAcentral